CGGAGGGUCCAAGCGUUAUCCGGAAUCAUUGGGUUUAAAGGGUGCGCAGGCGGUAAAGUAAGUCAGUGGUGAAAUCCCUUCGCUCAACGAAGGAACUGCCAUUGAUACUGCUAUACUUGAAUACAGUUGGAGUAGGCGGAAUGUGUAGUGUAGCGGUGAAAUGCUUAGAUAUUACACAGAACACCGAUAGCGAAGGCAGCUUACUAAACUGAGAUUGACGCUCAUGCACGAAAGCGUGGGGAGCGAACAGGAUUAGAUACCCUGGUAGUCCACGCUGUAAACUAUGAUUACUCGUUCUCGGCGAUAUACGGUCGGGGACUAAGCGAAAAGUGAUAAGUAAUCCAACCUGGGGAGUACGAUCGCAAGAUUG
Molecule: ribosomal RNA, 370 nt
Filed under: uncultured organism
Description: bacterial SSU rRNA
Rfam family: Bacterial small subunit ribosomal RNA
Source: RNAcentral